AAAUGGGUCAAACAGCUGAUCUCUAUAUACAUACAACACAAUUGAUUUUAUCUUUAUAUUUUCUAUUCAAAUCGUGGAAACAGCAGUUAGAAGGAGUAUUCCUAAAUGUUGGCCACAAAAUCAUGUGUUGAACUGUGUGAAUAAGAAGCAGUAGAGUAAUUGAAACAUUUCCCUUUUCAGUAGAUUCACAUGAGAUCAAAGGAGGAAAGGAAUGAAAUUUAUUGUGUUAUACAUUAUGUAGUGAGAAAUGUUACAGGUUGGGGGAAAUAAUGAGAAGCUCUUAUUACCUAACUCAUAUUCUCAGAAAUUCCUACCAUUUCGGAGGAGAAUUUAAAAUUCUGCAAUAGGUACUAAAUUAACCACCUUUUUUUCGAUUUAAAUGGCGAAUCGCUGUGUAUUUAAAUAUAGAGACCAGCUGAUCUAGAGCAGCUCGGCUCAGAUCUUCCCACCAACAUUUUGCUGACAAGAUGAUUGAACAAAGCAACUUAGAAACAGCUAUUUUAGGACACUGUAAAAUAACUAUCUAAAACACGAUUUUCAUUUUAUAUUCUUUCAAUGAAAAUUAGAUCCGAUGUCCAUUCCAGCGAAUCAGUCAGGAAAAUAAACAAAUCCUGAAUAACAAUGAUUUUGUGCUGUCUGGUUCUUGGAAAUCCAGAUAGCAAUUGGUGUUGCCAUAGAGUUUCAGGUCUUGGUAGAAGGUUUGAUAUGGACGAAUCAAGUACUAUAUGGAAUUGUUUUAUAAAAUUGAUAAAUGACUUAUGAGUUGACUUCAGGAAUCAUUAACCGCCCUAGUGCAUAGUACAUUCAAAAGGUCUCAUCUUCCGUUAGUAUGUGCAAAGAGACAAUUCUGGUAGUAACGGUUUGAAAGAUAAUAAGAUCUGAAAUUAUAGAGCAGUCUGUGUUUUUGUCUGUACUCUAGUUGUGUUCUCUCUACAUUCGGAGAGUCAUUUUUGGAUUUUGGAGAUUAUAGUUUGUACGUUUGAAACUUUUAUAAUGAGUGAAAUACCUUCCACAUCCAAAAGUGUUUAGGUUGGUGAUCCAGCCUUUGAAAGUAUCUUACUCCAAUGGGCAGAAGAAGAAAGUAUAGAAAUUUUUGGGUAUGAUAGCUAGAAAAUGUUGAUGAGGAUUAUUUUGAAAAAAAGUGAUUAUGAAACUAGUUCAGAAAUUGAAAUUAGGGACACCUUAAUACAAAAAUUUGAUACCUAAUCUGUUGAAGACCCUCUACAAACAAAAAUUUACAGUACCGCAAGAAUCGUUUCAAGUAAUCAACAGAUAGAUUUGUGUCUAGCACAAAAACACAGAAACAUAAUAUUUAUAUUACUGAAGUUAUCAGGACUGCAUACUUCAGAUGCAUUGGGAAAUAAAAGUGGUGUUCUUUUAUUGAUCACAGAUCCAUCCUGACUGAAACACGAUGAGUUGUCUGAUGGUUCAUCAGGUGUAUAACGAAAGAAAGAGCUGUAUCGGUGAUUAAAAGAACGAGUAACAGUACGAUUUGAUGCAACCGUGGUUGAAGUGCUGAAUACUUUGCUGAACAAAAGAACACAACUAAAACCGAUAUGGUUAUGGUUUCUUGCUGGAGUCUCUUGUUCUGUGAGAAUUAUAAUAAUAAUAAACAAAUCUUUAUUUC
Harmonia axyridis is the source of this 1627-nucleotide long non-coding RNA. RefSeq lists it as uncharacterized. NCBI's taxonomy places the organism in Eukaryota, Metazoa, Arthropoda, Insecta, Coleoptera, Coccinellidae. The transcript is spliced from 3 exons. The record is from RefSeq and is a predicted model, not a curated record.